CUCCUGGGCCUCAGACGUUGCUUUCUAGGCUUGCCAAGCAUUUGUAGGAGGACUUGCUGGAAACAUCAAUCCCAGCUGACUGCUCUUUCAUGAAACUUUAAAGAUUUGAAGCAGAAAGCACAGUGGAGUAAAACCUGAGAAGAUCUGAAAAUGAAAAAGCUAUAGACAGAUGCUGAGGACUACAGAAAUGUAAAACAGAGCAAUUUGUGGUGAAAGAUUCAGGUCUAAAGGACAGGAACCUGAACUCAAGUCUUCUCAUAUUGGAAACCUUGAGAGUAGAGGUAGAACUGAACUGGUCCUUUCAGGGAACUUUUCACUUAAAUGCAGC
Molecule: long non-coding RNA, 328 nt
Organism: Motacilla alba alba
Lineage: Eukaryota; Metazoa; Chordata; Aves; Passeriformes; Motacillidae
Exons: 3
Source: RefSeq, a predicted model, not a curated record